This is an RNA transcript of Rhipicephalus sanguineus (brown dog tick), 4352 nucleotides long. It is a transcript of the gene named RING finger protein 11, with no coding region annotated. The record is from RefSeq and is a predicted model, not a curated record. The transcript has 5 exons. NCBI's taxonomy places the organism in Eukaryota, Metazoa, Arthropoda, Arachnida, Ixodida, Ixodidae.
GUCAUGUUUACUGGUUUACUGUUAUUUUUCGCUGCUGACCGAAAAGUCGCAUCGGCCGAUGACUUUUCGUGGUUUUGCCGUCCGCUGAUCGACAGCGCGUAGCUAUGUGUUCCACGGCGACGCCGACGCCAGCCCCGGCGAACCGACACAAAAGGCGACGCGCCGUCUGGGCGAUUCGAUGAGUGUUGUGACGAACAAAGGCGACCCGACUGCGAGCUGGACUUCAUGAAAGGAGCGUACUAACUAAUCAGCGUAUCACUACAGUUCGUCUAAAGAGAAAAGCUCAGGCGGGCGCCGUCAAAAUUCUCUCUUUUCCCACGUCCUGCGAUGCGUCUACGGACCCUUUCCAGGCAGAGGGGAGUGCCAAAUUAAAGGAAGCCCGGAAACCGCCAGUCCGACGAAGCCUGCGCGACGGAGAAGUCGUCGGGCAUGUCACGUCUCGACGUUAGGCCUACUGCCACCAGACGCGCUGACUACUUGGACGGCGGUGUGUACUCCGUUCCCGGAUUACCAUGGUUUUUCCGAGAGCCCUCGGCCCUUGCCAGCUGCUGAUGUUCUGAAGCGUCGAAAUUUCCCCCCGAACAUCGGCCAGCCAUGGGAAAUUGCCUGAAGUCCAUGUCGUCGGAUGACAUCUCCCUGCUGAGGGAUAAUCAAGGCACAAGGGACUCGUCAGCUGAUCAGCUCGGACCCCCGCCGCCGUACCAGGAGACGGUGUCCAUGCCGGUGUACUACCCAUCGCCCAACGUGAGCCGUCCAGCCUGCCAGCUGACUGAGGAAGAGCAGGUGGUGAUUGCCCAGCGGAUGGGCCUCAUCCAGCACCUUCCCACGGGCCUCUAUGAUGGCAGCAAGAAAAACAGAGAGUGCGUGAUAUGCAUGGGAGAGUUUGCAGUGGGUGAUGCAGUCCGGUUCCUGCCCUGCAUGCACAUCUACCAUACGGACUGCAUCGACGACUGGCUGAUGCGCUCCUUCACGUGUCCCUCGUGCAUGGAACCGGUGGACGCGGCACUGUUGACCACCUACCAGACCAACUGAGGGCUGCCCCGCGACACAUCGCGCAUGCGCACUUGUUGGAAAAAUUCGCACGUAUGGUUGCAGUGCUGCUGCUUUAGGUCUGUGUUGAUGUGGGACGUGUUCAGCUACCAGGCAUCGUCUCUGAACUGUGUGCUGCUGCUGCUGCUGCUUCUACUGCGGAGUGCUCCGCAGCUCUACAUUGAGUGAGCAAAAUUUGCGAGCGCCAACGUCGUGCAGGAACUCCUCGCCUCUGUCGCACGCAGAGUGCGAGAACAGACGUUCCUCAGACUCAUCCGCUGCUUUCACCAGCAAUGGUUUCGCAGGCGCACCAGAAGGAAAGAGCGAGCGGCGCUCUCAAAGUCGCGGGGCACGCAACGAUGCCGGCCCGCCGACGCCGACCCUGCGGGCUCGGAGAAGCCUCCCGCCGUCAUUAAAAAUUGUCCGGCCAGAAAAGUGCACCGUUACAAGCUUUUGGCUUGAGGACUUCUCAGUGUUGGCUUUUCUAGGCUUUCUUUCCCCCUAGCCUGGGUGUGGAUAUGUAUAUAGAAAAUGUAUUAGUAGUGGUUAGUUGUGAUGCUCGAAGGGUUAAUGGAAGGCUCUCUUUUCCCCUACCUUCCUUAGUGCGCAUUGCACCGACGUAACCUUGCAUUGGAGCGUUGAUAUGAAAUGCCUUUUUUUUUUGUAUUUGUCGAGAGUUUGGUUCUGUUUCUUUCGGUCGUUCCUCUGGUUUGUUGUUUGUCGAGAACGCCGGUGCACUAUGGGAGAGCAGUGGUGGUGACACGGGCAAAAACACUCCCGUGUCUGGAUUGAUAGUCCUUUGAGUGAGCCUAGUUUUCAUCUGCUUGUGAUAAGUUGGCAUCUGUGCCUGUGUCGGAAGCCGCGAGCAUUGCCGUUUCAGGCCAAGUCUGGAAGAAAGAAAUUGGUGCUGACUGGGAUUUUGUGUACGUUUUGUGAUCUGUCAGUCGUAUUGGCCAGCUUCGAGUGUUUUUAACGGAAAGCAGCUUCGUAUGACCCGCACGCAAUAUCUCCUGUCGCGUUUGAAAAGAGGUCUUGAUCUGUCUGGUCACUGGUCCCUCUUUUUCCCCUUUGUUGAAGGUCUCAAUUAUCUUGCGAAAUCUUUCUUGUUGAUCGCUAAUGCGAGGACAGAGCAAAUGUUAUGAACAAUGGCUUUUUUGAUGGCUGGGUAAUGGAGUGUUUGUGUAUGUUUACGUUGUAGAUGAUGAAGCGGACAGCAAAGGAAUGCUUUUGCAGUGUUUGUGACAGUACGAAGCCCAAAGUCACGUUGCGCGCUACAGCGCGAUGGUGGUACUUAUCGCAUAUCGCUGUCUUCUUUGUUGUGAUGUAAGAAUCGGUGCUGCACCGAGUUCUGCAACAAGCUGGGUGUAGUAGCGCAGCGCCGUACGUGCGUGAGCGCAAACUUGGCUCGAGGAAUGACAGCGUCGAUCCAAAGGGAGCAGAUAGGCAGGGAAAUGUUAAUGCGUAUUCGACCUCUACAGGACUGUUCACCCUACAUGUCCUUGAAUAUUUAAUCUAAAAACGAAAACGUUAACAACAGUCACUUACACUUCUCGCUUGUUUGUGCCCAGGCCUGUUGUAGCAUAUCACAGUUUAUUUGUAGGUGGCCCUCACUCCAUUAAGCACCAUAUAUCAUCAUCAGUUUAUUUGUUGAGCAGUGCAUUCUUUAACUAGUUUAUCUGAGAAGGCGGGUUAGCUGUCUGUGAAGGCAGUCCCAGUAGCCGAACGAAACUGUGAAGUGGUCUGUGCAGUGAUUGCAGAAUCAAAACACAGUUCUCAUUGCAAAAAUUGUUGAUAACACUGCUAGCUGUUACAAAUAGCCCACUUGCCGGUUUCAUAAAUGACAACUGGUCACAGUAGUACUUUGUAUGUGAAGGAUUCCUUCUCAAAAUGUGAUUUUUUUCAAUUGCUUCUUUUUGAACACCAUAUACUACUAUGGUGGUCAAGGUGUUCCCAGUGGCCAAUAGUUGUACAAUUUGAUGCACUGCAAAAUACUUCCGGGAUGCUACCUGGGCAUAGACAAACAAGACUUGUGAACAUUUUUUUUGUUUCUUUACAUAAGGCCAAGUGUUUAUGUGCAUUUGAUAUUAAAACACAAGACUGAUAGUAAGGUGUUCACACUGCACCACAGCGUUGUAACUACUGCACUUUAGUUCCUUGACCGAAACUGGCCCUUCGCGUUUCGCGCUUAAUUUGUGAAUUGUAGCGAGUCCGAGAUUUGGUGAUGGUGAGCGACGCGAUUAGCUUAGAGUGAAGCUACCGAGUCCGCCUGUACGUAAUUACAGCACACUGCUUCAGUGUAGCAGUUGUCUGCACAUUUGCGUAGCUUUUGAAACCUUUGCUGUACCAGGGUUUUUCUCCACACUACAACUACAGCAUGGUCACAGGUCCAGUCUUUCUUAGCCAGCCAGUUUAGCUUCCCCGCGAAUGGGUGUUUGGCAGGUAGAUUGAGGCAGCUUGAACAUCUAUAAAGGAAACGGGCGACUCUUACGUAAAGAGCCUCCUUCGUUUUACGGCCGUUUUACGACUUAUUUUCUGCCCACAUCUCGAGGAUGUGGACAGCAAUUUCAGAGUCCGUGACGGAAUGCCAGCCCACUAUGGAAGUUCACCAAUGAACAACGGGCGUUGAACGAAGUGUUUGCGAUAUUUUUUUUUUUUUUUUCAGCACCCCCAAUAUCGUUGUGUUGUUUUUACAGACAAAGUUGUCCAUCGUAGACGCACAUUUCACUUUUUUUUUUAUCCCUAGACGCGGUGGUGUAAGAAACGCAUUCGUACUUACUGGUAGCCGAAUUCUCUCCUUCGCAGUUUCUUUUUUGUCUGUGAGAUACUUCAUAGACUGCUUUUCAUCUGCUUUUGUGUUGUCUGAGCCCGUUUUUUUUUUUUUUUUUUUUUUUUUGCUUGGGGGUUAGGCAAACAAAUUGAAAAUUUGAUUGAUUGAUUUACGGAGUUGCAAGGAAGAUGUCAGUGGUCGGUCAGAUGUACUUACCACACUGGACAGUUGUGCUAGUUUUUGAAAGCGUGGAAAGCUCACUGUUUUUCAGUUUGUGCAUUACCUUGUUUAGAGCUUGUAUAACAUCGGAAUGCUCCUUUCCGGCUUUUAUUCUCGGAUGCGUUGGGAAAACAAACAAAAAAGCAGCAGAGAGCCUUUCAUCGCGCAAAGUAAAAUAUCUUGGCCUAGUCAUUAGCAGUGAUGGAACUUUCUUGUGACGUUUUCAUUCCUUCUCGGGACGUGUAAAUAAAAUAAAAUGUGCUUGACUGGUGUUGUCAUUCAAGUCUUUCGAUGACCGCUACAAUAAAGCUGUGUAUCUAUUUCGUUUCAUUCAAAA